UUAGGUUAAUAAAUAUUACCGAAGACAGUAGGUGGCGUAAGCCUUAAAAUACCUGCCGAGGAUGAAUAUAUGUGAAAGCAUACAACUAUCCCUCUAUGUCUAAGGUGACAUGGGGCUUUUUGCUUUGAAUC
This 131-nucleotide small RNA is filed under the name Carnobacterium maltaromaticum. RNAcentral describes it as "L10_leader". It matches the Rfam family "Ribosomal protein L10 leader". From Rfam's summary of the family: This family is a putative r-protein leader autoregulatory structure found in B. subtilis and other low-GC Gram-positive bacteria. It is located in the 5' untranslated regions of mRNAs encoding ribosomal proteins L10 and L12 (rplJ-rplL). A Rho-independent transcription terminator structure that is probably involved in regulation is included at the 3' end. The record is from RNAcentral. Lineage: Bacteria; Bacillati; Bacillota; Bacilli; Lactobacillales; Carnobacteriaceae.